AUACGGAGGGUGCAAGCGUUACUCGGAAUUACUGGGCGUAAAGGACGCGUAGGCGGUUUAGAAAGUCAGAUGUGAAAGCUUAUGGCUUAACCAUAGAACUGCAUCUGAAACUCCUAGACUAGAGUGAGGGAGAGGUCAGUGGAAUUAGUGGUGUAGGGGUAAAAUCCGUAGAGAUCACUAGGAAUACUCAUAGCGAAGGCGACUGACUGGAACUUUACUGACGCUGAGGCGUGAAAGCGUGGGGAGCAAACAGGAUUAGAUACCCCUGUAGUCC
Molecule: ribosomal RNA, 274 nt
Filed under: uncultured bacterium
Lineage: Bacteria
Description: partial 16S ribosomal RNA
Rfam family: Bacterial small subunit ribosomal RNA
Source: RNAcentral